Molecule: ribosomal RNA, 2913 nt
Filed under: Triticum aestivum (bread wheat)
Lineage: Eukaryota; Viridiplantae; Streptophyta; Magnoliopsida; Poales; Poaceae
Description: partial small subunit ribosomal RNA
Source: RNAcentral
GAGAGCGAAGCGGGGGGCGUUUUUGGGAUCUCUGGAGGGCGGAGCGGAGCGGCGGCGGCGGGACGGGGAGAGCCGCUCGGCCCUAAGGUUCGCGCUGUGUAGAGUGUCCCUCCGGCGGCCCGCGCCUCCGCUACCACCGGCUCGACGCCGCGCUGCUGUACCGCCUCCUCCGCCCCUGGUAGGCGCUGAGGCACCGCAAGGCCGAGCAGCUCGCGCACGAGGUCAGGCACGCCUACCUCGGCAAAGAUUAACGGGGCAUACUAGACCUCGUUAUAUCCUACUACCAUCCGUGAGAUCUGUGGUCGUCCUGUUUCUUAGCACUGCUGCUCCGAAACAUACACUGCAUAAACUUCCGUAACAGUCUUCGUCAUAGGUUUUAUCUGUAGUGCAUGGUAGUAAGCGAAAACUUGUUAUAUAAACGACAGGCGUAGACCAUGAACGUUUCUCUAUGUUACCAACGAAAUAACCUGGAUUAUUGGUCUAACCGACGUCACCGUCUAGUCAUAGAGUCUCUUACAAACGUCUACGAGCACUUGUUGAAGUGAGGCGGAUAACAACUUGCGUUACUCCACGGAUGUACCCGUCAGAGCUCCUUCUUCCUAUAAAAAAGAGUAGACACGCCCUCAAACUUUUGCUAGAGGCUAUGACAUGGGAAUCGUGGUUCCUACAAUUCCCUAUAUUAUCUAGCCUCAUACGGCUUCAAUAAACUAUUGUUUCGAUUCUACUAGAGCAAACAGCUCACGUACAACCCUGAUCUAUGACUGUCUUACCCCCUAGAAUAGCCUCGAUAAAACGACCGGUUUCAACAACUAGAAGAAUGUCUUAACCUACAAUUAUAUUGGACCCUUCUAUAAGAAGUUCUCCUUGUACUGUUUCCAUAUAAACUUUACCUCGAACUUCUAAACCUACGGCUACUACUACCCCUACCGAAACCUGUUCGUCCUUGUUUCCAGACAGACCCUCCUUUACGUACACGACUUUUCGAACUACCAAAUUACCAACAACAUACGCUCGUGGAAUUCAGUAAUCUAGCAGUCGCAGAUAUAUUCCUUAAACAGUAAGACUUUUGAUAUAAAGCUCGUAGAGACGACUCCCACGUGUCUAGUUUUAAACGGGUCAAAUAGUACAAGAUAUGGACGAGUGACCUAGGAUUUUGGGAACCACUCCCAAAACGACAAAAAGAAUGGCUGUAACAAUGCCUCUUCUUUCUCCUAGGUUAAAGUUCUUACAGACGUCAAAGUAUACAACCUUCGAUAAACAGAGCCCGUUCCAAGUAAAGACGACUAUGCCAACAAUGAUAUGAGUUUUUUAAUCAUCUAACCACGCAACUGAUAACACUGGUAGUCUCGUUCUCUCUCCGGUGUGGCUAAGGUUUAGUAGUUAAUAAAAUGCGCUGGACGGUCCGACACUACAUACAGGAAACGAAAGCGAACUCUAGAUAAUACCUAAUAGGUUUAGAAUUUAGUCUAGACAAAGUGUACGGAAAACCUAAAGACAAAGCGGUGGCUGAUCUUGGAGAUUUCCACACGAACGGAAGUUAUCAUUUGCUCAAAGACUCUGUCCGGUUCCUACGGCCUAACCAACGACGUAAACACCUAGGUCGUCGACUUCUACGUUAACUUAGACUAAACAGGUCCUGAAAACCUCCUUAGUUAUCUGAACUGUACAAGAAGGGUAAACUAGGAAUGGACGAUUUUCUUAGACUGUCCAUAUAGGCAGGCUUAAAGCUCAAGACCAGGUACCAGUUCUGUUGCAUAUCGCUACUGUGGCUGCUGCUACUACUACUCGAGCUCCUGGAACUACGGGGACUCUACUUACAACCGUCGGACCUACUAGUACAGCUCUAUCUAUAGUUGUCACUGCUGCUGCUGAACCUCAUGAGCUACUUGUUCUACAGAUAUUGGGGCGUGGUGAGAAAGAAUGUGGUCUACCGGUACCUGUCGCUGCCGCCGGAGUCGUACGGGCGCUCCUAGUCUGGAAGUUGUUCGGGAGGCAGCGCCACCCGGUACAGUCCUCUUAGUGGUAUCUACCUUCUUCGUCGACCUAUGAACCCCGACAUGUUCCUCCCAUACUGACAGUUUGACUAUGCCCCGCGAAUCAAACAUCACCCCAGUUUGUUGGGUAAGUAAACGUCACAUAAGUCGGGUUCAUCAAGCUUUAAAAACCCAACUUUCACACUUCAUGUCUACAACAAUCUUUUGCAUCAACUCACCAACAUUCUAAUAUAUAUAUGACGUCGAUCCGAACAAACUCAUACUGCUAGUACAAGACUACAUCUUGCCAAACAGCUGUCCAAGAGAGUGACCUUGUCGUAGCCGUAGCCGUACUCAACAAUGCCUUUGUCCGGUGUGUUGUCCUCAUAUAGAACAACUAUCUUCUUACAUCCAACACACCCAACACACCGGACAAAGGCUUUUCGGUAACGGAAAUAUAAAACCUUAAACCUGAAAAUACGUACUGGACCUGGCCGAAGUAAAGUAAUCUCUAUCGUUGGACCGCAGCAUGGAGACAACUCUCGGACCUGGCCGCUACCGCUACAGAAACUGCAGCCUGGAGAUAACUCUCGUAGUACCCACUUCUGAACCGGACCUCCAAGAUACAACACCAAGAAGCCGCGAACGCCGACCAGGCUUAUCUAGAAGAAGCCGCGAUACGUACGGACACGGCCACACAGGUUCUGCUACCGACAGAGUCCUGGCUGACUCAGAGCGGUAGAGGAACGUAAGUUCCCACCAACCACGUAGCCAUUUCCUUCAGAUCACCAUCAACAACGAGAAACACCACUGGUCACAACCAACUCUGCCGAAACAACAGGAUAAAUCCCGUUCAAAGAAACGCAACACAAACAUUACACACGCCACCGAAUAAAAAUCUAAUCGAACUCACACCUCAAACAUGAUGUGAACAAAAAGC